GUCCGCCUACGGGAGGCAGCAGUGAGGAAUAUUGGUCAAUGGGCGCAAGCCUGAACCAGCCAAGUCGCGUGAGGGAUGACGGUCCUAUGGAUUGUAAACCUCUUUUGUCGGGGAGCAAGGCCCGCCACGUGUGGCGGGAAGGAGAGUACCCGAAGAAAAAGCAUCGGCUAACUCCGUGCCAGCAGCCGCGGGAAUACGGAGGAUGCGAGCGUUAUCCGGAUUUAUUGGGUUUUAAGGGUGCGUAGGCGGAAGGUUAAGUCCGCGGUCGAAUGUCGG
This 276-nucleotide ribosomal RNA is filed under the name uncultured bacterium. Its description in RNAcentral is "partial 16S ribosomal RNA". It matches the Rfam family "Bacterial small subunit ribosomal RNA", at positions 333 to 605 of the family's 1533-position model. The record is from RNAcentral.